AUGCAUCUCAUUUUCUUCAUAUGGAUUGUGUUCAUUCCUCUUUGGAUCGGUUUGCUGGUUGAUUUAACACUGCUUUCACCCUUCAUCGGGCCUGGUAAUGGUGUUCCAGUUCUAGACUUUUUCUGCACUUGGGCCCUGGGGCGGAUAACACAGGUUUAUGGGAUAAGAUUGGCUCGUCGGUACAAAGUCAGAGGCGGGCUCCCUUCCCUGGCUGAUUCCGUUGAGAACUAUUGGACCGGAGACAAGUUGGAAUCUCUUUCAAAGAUGGGACCUUUUGCAACGAAGCUAGUCGCUGCUCUGGGUGUUCCUUAUGUGCUCGCCGAGGGUGUCUUCCCAAGACUAGGCUACCCAGCUGCCGUAAACUCCAUGGUCUACCAUUUCGCGUGGUUGGGCUGCAUCGCCUUCUAUGCGCUCUGCUAUCUCGCGAAGGUAGCCUUCACUAUGCUCCAUGAUUCUAUUAGGGGAUCGUUAUGGGCCGAGCAGACAUACCGAGAGCAUAUGUAUCAAUGCAGCUGUUAA
This 519-nucleotide ribosomal RNA is filed under the name Triticum aestivum (bread wheat). RNAcentral's name for it is "partial small subunit ribosomal RNA". The record is from RNAcentral. Lineage: Eukaryota; Viridiplantae; Streptophyta; Magnoliopsida; Poales; Poaceae.